AUGAUAAGAAGUUUGAGUUGAGUGAACAAGUGUGACGUAACUAUAUGAUAAGCAGACAUGCAUGUUAAUCUAGAAGUAAGGAGGUAAGGCAGCUAGAAACAGUAUAAAAACUCGAGGCCCACGGCCAGAAGACAUUCUCAAAAUGACUUGAUAGACACGCUGUCAGAAGCAGUCAUAGAGAAUCCAACGAACCAGCAACUUGACAACUGAGACCUUCCAAGAGCCAGAGAACUAGCUCUUGCCUGCGGAUCAAGACUUGCUGACUUGCUGAUAGAUCUUCCAAGAGCCAGAGAACUAGCUCUUGUCUGCGGAUCAAGACUUGCUGAUCCAGAGAUCUAAGUCGAGAGCCACGAACCAUUAUCAGGUUUUAGUUCAGGGCUCCUGGAUCACAACGUGCCUUCCAGUUCCGAGACACCCAUGCACCCCCCAGGGAGUGAAGCAUUCAAGUCAAGUUCCCUUAGUAGUCAAGAAAGCAUUGUUGGCUUGACAGGACAGUUGGUCAUUAAUCUUGUGGACCCUGUAUGACUUGUAAACUUCACUUUAUUCUGGCAACUGUAUUGAUCCUGGAAGUUACCAUUAUCUUCUGUUUCUGAUAAAUGUAUAAAAAGUCUGAUUGCUCUUAAUAAAAUCAUCACAGCCCCUGUAGUGCUGGGGCCCCUCCAA
This is a non-coding RNA of Myodes glareolus (Bank vole), 663 nucleotides long. The record is from RefSeq and is a predicted model, not a curated record. NCBI's taxonomy places the organism in Eukaryota, Metazoa, Chordata, Mammalia, Rodentia, Cricetidae.